UACGUAGGGACCAAGCGUUGUUCGGAUUUACUGGGCGUAAAGGGCGCGCAGGCGGCCAUUCAAGUCAGGCGUGAAAGCCCCGGGCUUAACCUGGGAGGUGCGUCUGGGACUGGGUGGCUAGAGAUCGGGAGAGGAGAGUGGAAUUCCCAGUGUAGAGGUGAAAUUCGUAGAUAUUGGGAAGAACACCGGUGGCGAAGGCGGCUCUCUGGACCGAUACUGACGCUGAGGCGCGAAAGCGUGGGGAGCAAACGGG
RNAcentral lists this ribosomal RNA (253 nucleotides) under uncultured bacterium. RNAcentral's name for it is "partial 16S ribosomal RNA". It matches the Rfam family "Bacterial small subunit ribosomal RNA", at positions 524 to 776 of the family's 1533-position model. The record is from RNAcentral.